UGAGUAAACAGGGCAGUCGCACUCCCGUAACGAAAGGUCGGGAAGUGAGGAAAGUCCGGGCUGCACAGGGCAAGGAUAACGGGUAACACCCGCCGAAGGCGACUUCAGGACAAGUGCAACAGAGAUAUACCGCCCGAACCGGGUCACUACCGAGUUCGAGGUAAGGGUGGAAAAGUGGGGUAAGAGCCCACUGAACGGCAUGGAAGUGUCCGUUCCUGUAAACUCUAUCCGCAGCAACACCGUGGUAACGGGGACAUUAGGCCUGCCCGGCUGUUCCCGAGGAGGUGGCUGGAGCAUAUAGGUAACGGUAUGCCAAGACAGAUGACUGCCGCGAGCAAGCAAUAUUGGCCUAUACUCGCACAGAACCCGGCUUACGGUUUACUCACUAA
RNAcentral lists this RNase P RNA (389 nucleotides) under Papillibacter sp. Its description in RNAcentral is "RNase P RNA component class A". It matches the Rfam family "Bacterial RNase P class A". From Rfam's summary of the family: Ribonuclease P (RNase P) is a ubiquitous endoribonuclease, found in archaea, bacteria and eukarya as well as chloroplasts and mitochondria. Its best characterised activity is the generation of mature 5'-ends of tRNAs by cleaving the 5'-leader elements of precursor-tRNAs. The record is from RNAcentral. Lineage: Bacteria; Bacillati; Bacillota; Clostridia; Eubacteriales; Oscillospiraceae.